Molecule: long non-coding RNA, 590 nt
Organism: Cyprinus carpio carpio
Lineage: Eukaryota; Metazoa; Chordata; Actinopteri; Cypriniformes; Cyprinidae
Source: Ensembl
CAAUUGUUAAAUAAUUCUCCUAACUAUGUCAAGCUGGGACUUAACCAAGCCUUUGCUUUCCAGAUAUCAGCAGCCUUUGUGGUCAUAAGCUGGCUCGACAACAUCUCGUGUCACCUUGCAUUCACAAUGACACCCAGAGAGAUGGUACUGCCAGGGGAGAACCCAUUCAUCUGAUUUAGUGUUGAACUUUCUUCUCCUGCAUCCUAUUCUUCAUGCAGUCCAGAAUGGCAUCACAUCUGAAAGAUGUACAUCUUCCUCUCAACUCAUCAAUUCUCACUAAUUACAUCUCUGGUGGCGACAAUCUCAACCCCGUCCCCAAUUACAGCCGGACAUUGGAAGAUGCUAUUCCAGCAGGAGUUUAAAAUGAAUGACUUUAACUGAACCAAGCUUGUGUACCUCACUACAGAUAUGAAAGCCAUUAAAUAUAAAGUCAUUACAGAAAUCUGUCACUGGAGAAAAAAAAGAAUAAAAAAAGCACCUUGAGACAGCUGUUUCCUGCCUGUAAUUAAUCUCAGUGUCCCCAAAAUAGGAUAAAGACAAGAACAGGAAACUGCAGCACACCAUGUUGAUCAGUUACAUGUUCCCAGUUC